UACGUAGGGGGCAAGCGUUAUCCGGAUUUACUGGGUGUAAAGGGUGCGUAGGUGGCAGGGCAAGUCAGAUGUGAAAGCCCGGGGCCCAACCCCGGUACUGCAUUUGAAACUGUCCGGCUGGAGUGCAGGAGAGGUAAGCGGAAUUCCUAGUGUAGCGGUGAAAUGCGUAGAUAUUAGGAGGAACACCAGUGGCGAAGGCGGCCUGCUGGACGAUGACUGACGUUGAGGCUCGAAAGCAUGGGUAGCGAACAGG
This 253-nucleotide ribosomal RNA is filed under the name uncultured Eubacteriales bacterium. RNAcentral describes it as "uncultured Clostridiales bacterium partial 16S ribosomal RNA". It matches the Rfam family "Bacterial small subunit ribosomal RNA", at positions 524 to 776 of the family's 1533-position model. The record is from RNAcentral. Lineage: Bacteria; Bacillati; Bacillota; Clostridia; Eubacteriales.